UGAGUAACACGUAUGCAACCUACCCAUGACAGUGGAAUAACCCGUCGAAAGGCGGACUAAUACCGCAUAAUAACGAGAUACCGCAUGGUAUUUUGUUCAAAGAUUUAUCGGUCAUGGAUGGGCAUGCGUUCCAUUAGGUAGUUGGCGGGGCAACGGCCCACCAAGCCAUCGAUGGAUAGGGGUUCUGAGAGG
This 192-nucleotide ribosomal RNA is filed under the name Bacteroidales bacterium. RNAcentral's name for it is "partial 16S ribosomal RNA". It matches the Rfam family "Bacterial small subunit ribosomal RNA", at positions 107 to 299 of the family's 1533-position model. The record is from RNAcentral. Lineage: Bacteria; Pseudomonadati; Bacteroidota; Bacteroidia; Bacteroidales.